This 330-nucleotide long non-coding RNA is filed under the name Aquilegia coerulea. RNAcentral describes it as "long non-coding RNA (ACOE_LNC000537)". Lineage: Eukaryota; Viridiplantae; Streptophyta; Magnoliopsida; Ranunculales; Ranunculaceae. The record is from RNAcentral.
UUAUUCUUAACUUUAGCUAAAACAUCAAAUAACUCAACAACAUUCUUACCUGAAGCUAAAGCUUCAACAUCAUCAUCAUAAUCAUCACUUUCUUCCGAAUCUUCUUCAUCAGAAUCAUCAAUAUAACCUUUCUUCUUCAAUUCUUUUAAUCUCUGUAACUCUUCUCUUUUCUUAUUGUGUUCGUAUCGCUUUGCGAAUUCUUGGUUUGUUUCAAUUUUUGAUAUGUCUUCAAUGUCAUCUGUACCACCAAUGAACUGCCGAACUGGAGAAUGGAGAUGAAGAUUGAGUUAGAGAAGAAGAGGAGACGGGCAGAGACGGCUAGGUUUGCAG